GCGCACCAUCGACCGAUCAUGAUGUCUUCGGAUGGAUUUGAGUACGAGCGUAGCUGUGGGGACCCGAAAGAUGGUGAACUAUGCCUGAAUAGGGCGAAGCCAGAGGAAACUCUGGUGGAGGCUCGCAGCGGUUCUGACGUGCAAAUCGAUCGUCAAAUUUGGGUAUAGGGGCGAAAGACUAAUCGAACCAUCUGGUAGCUGGUUCCUGCCGAAGUUUCCCUCAGGAUAGCAGUAACGCGGAUCAGUUUUAUGAGGUAAAGCGAAUGAUUAGAGGCAUUGGGGUUGAAACAACCUUAACCUAUUCUCAAACUUUAAAUAUGUAAGAAGCGCUUGUUGCUUAGUUGAACGUGCGCAUUAGAAUGGAGCGUUACUAGUGGGCCAUUUUUGGUAAGCAGAACUGGCGAUGCGGGAUGAACCGAACGCGAGGUUAAGGUGCCGGAAUGCACGCUCAUCAGACACCACAAAAGGUGUUAGUUCAUCUAGACAGCCCGACGGUGGCCAUGGAAGUCGGAAUCCGCUAAGGAGUGUGUAACAACUCCCGGGCCGAAUGAACUAGCCCUGAAAAUGGAUGGCGCUCAAGCGUGCUACCC
This 590-nucleotide ribosomal RNA is filed under the name Aspergillus fumigatus. RNAcentral's name for it is "eukaryotic LSU rRNA". It matches the Rfam family "Eukaryotic large subunit ribosomal RNA", at positions 753 to 1343 of the family's 3401-position model. The record is from RNAcentral. Lineage: Eukaryota; Fungi; Ascomycota; Eurotiomycetes; Eurotiales; Aspergillaceae.